This 253-nucleotide ribosomal RNA is filed under the name uncultured bacterium. Its description in RNAcentral is "partial 16S ribosomal RNA". It matches the Rfam family "Bacterial small subunit ribosomal RNA", at positions 524 to 776 of the family's 1533-position model. The record is from RNAcentral.
UACGUAGGGUGCGAGCGUUGAUCGGAAUUACUGGGCGUAAAGCGUGCGCAGGCGGUUUUGUAAGCCAGAUGUGAAAUCCCCGGGCUUAACCUGGGAAUGGCAUUUGGGACUGCAAGGCUUGAGUGCGGCAGAGGAGACUGGAAUUCCUGGUGUAGCAGUGAAAUGCGUAGAUAUCAGGAGGAACACCGAUGGCGAAGGCAGGUCUCUGGGCUGACACUGACGCUCAUGCACGAAAGCGUGGGGAGCAAACAGG